Molecule: ribosomal RNA, 375 nt
Filed under: uncultured bacterium
Lineage: Bacteria
Description: bacterial SSU rRNA
Rfam family: Bacterial small subunit ribosomal RNA
Source: RNAcentral
UAAUACGGAGGGGGUUAGCGUUGUUCGGAAUUACUGGGCGUAAAGCGCACGUAGGCGGAUUGGAAAGUUGGGGGUGAAAUCCCGGGGCUCAACCCCGGAACUGCCUCCAAAACUUCCAGUCUGGAGUUCGAGAGAGGUGAGUGGAAUUCCGAGUGUAGAGGUGAAAUUCGUAGAUAUUCGGAGGAACACCAGUGGCGAAGGCGGCUCACUGGCUCGAUACUGACGCUGAGGUGCGAAAGUGUGGGGAGCAAACAGGAUUAGAUACCCUGGUAGUCCACACCGUAAACGAUGAAUGCCAGUCGUCGGGUAGCAUGCUAUUCGGUGACACACCUAACGGAUUAAGCAUUCCGCCUGGGGAGUACGGCCGCAAGGUUA